This 292-nucleotide ribosomal RNA is filed under the name uncultured eukaryote. RNAcentral's name for it is "partial 18S ribosomal RNA". It matches the Rfam family "Eukaryotic small subunit ribosomal RNA", at positions 6 to 296 of the family's 1831-position model. The record is from RNAcentral.
GGUUGAUCCUGCCAGUAGUCAUACACUUGUCUCAAAGAUUAAGCCAUGCAUGUCUAAGUAUAAGCAACAUUGUACCGUGAAACUGCGAAUGGCUCAUUAUAUCAGUUAUAGUUUCUUUGAUAGUUCCUGCUACAUGGAUAACCGUAGUAAUUCUAGAGCUAAUACAUGCCCCGAAUUCCUGCGUGCGGGCAACCGCGCAAGGGAAGCAUUUAUUAGAUCCACAACCAGCCCCGGCAACGGGACCCCCCCUGGUGAAUCAUGAUAACUGAGCGAACCGCAUGCGCGGGCAACC